Molecule: ribosomal RNA, 111 nt
Filed under: Acanthosepion pharaonis
Lineage: Eukaryota; Metazoa; Mollusca; Cephalopoda; Sepiida; Sepiidae
Source: RNAcentral
CAGCUAUAUCACAUUGAAACACCAGUUCUCAUACAAUCACUGAAGUUAAGCAGUGUCAAGCCUGGUCAAUACCUAGAUGAGUGACUGCUUGGGAAUACCAUGUGCUGUAAG